CAGGUACAGAGGGAUGCUACCGGGCGACCGGAUGCGGAUCUCGAAAGCCUGUCCCAGUUCGGACUGGAGUCUGCAACCCGACUCCACGAAGUUGGAUUCGCUAGUAAUCGCGCAUCAGCCAUGGCGCGGUGAAUACGUUCCCGGGCCUUGUACACACCGCCCGUCAAGCCAUGGAAGCCGGGAGUGCCUGAAGUACGCGACCGCAAGGAACGUCCUAAGGUAAAACCGGUGACUGGGGCUAAGUCGUAACAAGGUACC
RNAcentral lists this ribosomal RNA (258 nucleotides) under uncultured bacterium. RNAcentral's name for it is "partial 16S ribosomal RNA". It matches the Rfam family "Bacterial small subunit ribosomal RNA", at positions 1234 to 1500 of the family's 1533-position model. The record is from RNAcentral.